AGCGAACGCUGGCGGCAGGCCUAACACAUGCAAGUCGAACGAACCUUUCGGGGUUAGUGGCGGACGGGUGAGGACCACGUGGGAACGUGCCUUUAGGUACGGAAUAACUCAGGGAAACUUGUGCUAAUACCGAAUGUGCCCUUCGGGGGUAAGAUCUGUCGCCUUUGGAUCGGCCCGCGUCUGGUUCGCUAGUUGGUUGAGGUAAUGGCUCACCAAGGCGACGAUGAGUAGCUGGUCGGAGAGGAUGCUAAGCCACAUUGGGACUGAGACACGGCCUAAACUGCGACGGAAGGGAGGAGAGGGUAAUCUUGCGCAAGGGGGGAAAGCGUGACGAAGCCAUGCCGCGUGAAUGAUGAAGGUCUUAGGAUUGUAAAAUUCUUUCUGCGGAGUCGAUAAUGACGGUACCCGGAGAAGAAGCCCCGGCUAACUUCGUG
This 434-nucleotide ribosomal RNA is filed under the name uncultured bacterium. RNAcentral describes it as "partial 16S ribosomal RNA". It matches the Rfam family "Bacterial small subunit ribosomal RNA", at positions 29 to 507 of the family's 1533-position model. The record is from RNAcentral.